GAUGAACGCUGGCGGCGUGCCUAAUACAUGCAAGUCGAGCGAACAGAUGAGGAGCUUGCUCCCCUGACGUUAGCGGCGGACGGGCGAGUAACACGUGGAUAACCUACCUAUAAGACUGGGAUAACUUCGGGAAACCGGAGCUAAUACCGGAUAAUAUAUUGAACCGCAUGGUUCAAUAGUGAAAGACGGUUUUGCUGUCACUUAUAGAUGGAUCCGCGCCGCAUUAGCUAGUUGGUAAGGUAACGGCUUACCAAGGCAACGAUGCGUAGCCGACCUGAGAGGGUGAUCAGCCACACUGGAACUGAGACACGGUCCAGACUCCUACGGGAGGCAGCAGUAGGGAAUCUUCGGCAAUGGGCGAAAGCCUGAUGGAGCAACGCCGCGUGAGUGAUGAAGGUCUUCGGAUCGUAAAACUCUGUUAUUAGGGAAGAACAAAUGUGGAUGUAACUAUGCACGUCUUGACGGUACCUAAUCAGAAAGCCACGGCUAACUACGUG
Molecule: ribosomal RNA, 497 nt
Filed under: uncultured bacterium
Lineage: Bacteria
Description: partial 16S ribosomal RNA
Rfam family: Bacterial small subunit ribosomal RNA
Source: RNAcentral